AUACGUAGGGUGCGAGCGUUGUCCGGAAUUACUGGGCGUAAAGAGCUCGUAGGUGGUUUGUCGCGUCGUCUGUGAAAUUCCGGGGCUUAGCUCCGGGCGUGCAGGCGAUACGGGCAUAACUUGAGUACUGUAGGGGAGACUGGAAUUCCUGGUGUAGCGGUGAAAUGCGCAGAUAUCAGGAGGAACACCGGUGGCGAAGGCGGGUCUCUGGGCAGUAACUGACGCUGAGAAGCGAAAGCAUGGGUAGCGAACAGGAUUAGAUACCCUGGUAGUCCAUGCCGUAAACGGUGGGCGCUAGGUGUAGGGGUCUUCCACGACUUCUGUGCCGUAGCUAACGCAUUAAGCGCCCCGCCUGGGGAGUACGGCCGCAAGGCUAAAACUCAAAUGAAUUGACGGGG
This 398-nucleotide ribosomal RNA is filed under the name uncultured bacterium. Its description in RNAcentral is "partial 16S ribosomal RNA". It matches the Rfam family "Bacterial small subunit ribosomal RNA", at positions 523 to 918 of the family's 1533-position model. The record is from RNAcentral.